CUGUCCUGGGACCUACAAGUACCUGGAGGUGCAGUACGACUGUGUCCCCUACAAAGUGGAGCAGAAAGGGAUUGGGGGGGUGGGGCGGGGCCCCCCACCUUUCUGACAUCAGCGCUGCCUUGGUCCCUCUUCCCGAGCCGGGGAUGGUCGCAGUCUUCGUGUGCCCAGGGACCCUGCAGAAGGUGCUGGAGCCCACCUCGACACACGAGUCAGAGCACCAGUCUGGCGCAUGGUGCAAGGACCCGCUGCAGGCGGGUGACCGCAUCUACGUGAUGCCCUGGAUCCCCUACCGCACGGACACACUGACUGAGUAUGCCUCAUGGGAGGACUACGUGGCCGCCCGCCACACCACCACCUACCGCCUGCCCAACCGCGUGGAUGGCACAGGCUUUGUGGUCUACGAUGGUGCCGUCUUCUACAACAAGGAGCGCACGCGCAACAUCGUCAAGUAUGACCUACGGACGCGCAUCAAGAGCGGGGAGACGGUCAUCAAUACCGCCAACUACCACGACACCUCGCCCUACCGCUGGGGCGGAAAGACCGACAUUGACCUGGCGGUGGACGAGAACGGGCUGUGGGUCAUCUACGCCACUGAGGGCAACAACGGGCGGC
This 612-nucleotide small RNA is filed under the name Pan troglodytes (chimpanzee). RNAcentral describes it as "processed transcript". Lineage: Eukaryota; Metazoa; Chordata; Mammalia; Primates; Hominidae. The record is from RNAcentral.